CUUGGUUCAGGAAAGCUUGGUUCUCAACCUUAAACUCUGCCUCCAAACCUCAGACCUUUCUAGCUUUGGAUCUCUCACCACCGCCUCAGGAGCUCGUCCAAGAACAAUUGCUCUCCCUCAACAGAACUCUGCUGUCCGCGCGACCAGUUCCCAAGGCGCAGUGCAUGCCGCCGUCUUAGGGAGGUUAAUUCACCGAGAACCUGGCCGUGGAGUUGAGCACUCGCUCAGGACACACCGCUCUGCACAAACACAGCUCGACCAGAAGAAAAGGCAAGCAACACACCUCUUCCCGUCUCCCCGAAAGUAGCGACGCUCUCUUCUACAACCGCUAGAUUCAUUCGAGAAAAGAUCGCAGGCAGAGGUUUUAUUUGAAGAUAAUUUUAGCUAUCCAUUAGAACCCACUUGUUCCAAGCUGGUUCUCUCAGAAUUUAUAGCGGUCAGCAUCAAGACUUUGCUCUAUCGCUGUCCAAGAGAAAGGGGGGGGGGAUCCUAGUGGUAAGGAGAAAUGGAGAGUAGAGUAUUGCUCCUUCACUCCUUCCCUGGUUCUUGCAAGGUGGAAUGCAAAGUCCAAGCGCCCUCCUCACCCUACCCGCCCCCACCCCCUACCGCAGCCAGCUCUUGUCAGGACAUUUGACUCACAGGCACUAAAAGAGGCGAUUUAAUAGUUCCCCUCUUCCUUGCCUUCCAUUAAAGUGUCUGAUAAGCAACCCGCAGUGUAGUUCAGCAAGGUUCCAGGUUCAAAACCUGAAAAUUCCUUGGAGUUGUGUGCCUUUGGUCCACACCCAGGAGCGCCAGAAUUGCACCCACCAGCUGAGGCCGAGAGAAGCUGCAGGGCGAAGGGAGGCCAGAAAGGAUGGAGAGUCUGGGGGGCUGCAUACUAGAUAGAUUGUACCUGCCUCAUCAUUAUCCUGGCUGACGGGGGCUGCCACAUCGAAAAUGGCCUGCAGCACCCACAGAGGCCCAAGGACGUCACCUCCAACGGUCCCAGAGAAGGGCUGAGUCCUCCUUCAAAGGUUCCCCUCCUGCCAAAAUAUCUCCUUCUUCCUCCGGAUCCGAUCGGGCGACCGAGUUUCCCCCUCACCCUGCCACACAGCACUUUGAAGAUGCGGUGCACUGGCUGGCUGCCUCCGUUUGCCAGACCCGGGCGACGGCAGGAAGAGAGCAUUGUUUCCAACUCAAGGGUGCAGGAGGGUCUGUCUCCGCCUGCAAUCAACAGGCCUUGUAAUAUGAGAGGUGACACCUUAAUCUUGCCAAAUAUGUGCUGUGUCUGGGGUGGGGGGCAGGGAGAGAACCAGGCAAGAGCAGGGGGCCGAAGAUGCACUUUCCUCAGAGAACUGACCCACACCCCUCAACUCCCACCCUGGUAGAGAAGGGUCCUCCUUUUCUUUUUGCAAGACCUACUUGAGGAUUUUCUUCCUCCAGAACGCAGUCAAACUUCUCCUUCCUUGUUUCUUUCCACAGAAGAACUAAAGGUUCUCCCUUCCCUUAGUAGGUGCAAAGGCAUCUUGAACUUCAGAGGAGCUCAGAGGCUGCUAGGCAGAAAAGAGGCAGAAAGGUUCACUUGUUUACAGGCAGGAUAAAAGCCCGUCAGAGUCAUGGUGACUUCUGGGCAAACCCAAGUUUCUAAAUAGAGAGUGAAGUGUUUAUCGAAAGGCCAGCGCUAAGAGUCCUGAGGGUAACGAGAGUUAAGAGAAGACCCCAGGAAGCAAUGGAGUCCUUAGACAGCUGGGUCUUUGCUAGCUAGGUAGAGGCCUCUCUAAGCAGAGUCCCUGGUUUUGGCCACCGAUCUGAUGACAGCACCUUUGGGUCAAUGGACUUGCUCUUUCUCCCGGUUGCAUCUGCAGCUCCGAUUCCCGAAAGCAGUUUGUGAGAGCAGGGGCCAGGUCCAGUUUCGAAAACCCCCUUUAAACUCUCUCCCAAGGCGAAUUCCUAGAGCUUGCCUUUGGUCUACCCUUAUCUUUUGUAAUAGCGCCACAGUGUGGUUGA
Myodes glareolus (Bank vole) is the source of this 1986-nucleotide non-coding RNA. NCBI's taxonomy places the organism in Eukaryota, Metazoa, Chordata, Mammalia, Rodentia, Cricetidae. The record is from RefSeq and is a predicted model, not a curated record.